UGUGGGAGCUGGCUUGCCUGCGAUACAGGCGACUCGGUCUUUGUGUUUCACCGAGGUGACGCCAUCGCAGGCGAGCCAGCUCCCACA
RNAcentral lists this unclassified non-coding RNA (87 nucleotides) under Pseudomonas fluorescens. The record is from RNAcentral. Lineage: Bacteria; Pseudomonadati; Pseudomonadota; Gammaproteobacteria; Pseudomonadales; Pseudomonadaceae.